AAUAAAAAGUCUAAAAUAUUCCUGUCAUUCACAUGUGCAGUGUAAACUUUUUAAAAUUUUAAAUAUGAAUUUAAUCUGAUGGUUUAAAGAUUUGCAAACAGCCCUGGCAUUUUCUAUUGAAUUUAGGCAUAUUAUGAAUCUGGCCUCUAUAAACUAAUAGUGUUAAGAUCUGGCUUGUGAGACUAUUGUGACCCCAAUGCAAUCUCGGUUGUCCUGACAACCAUACAAAAGCUCAAACUACUCACUGCACCUGCUGUCGACACGGGUAACCUGCUGUACCUGUGCUGUACACAGUGAUUAGCUGAUGUUACCCUAUGGUGUUUCCAGUUCUCAGAACCGUCACUAAACUUCUAGCCAUCUGAAUCACAACACACACAGGCGCUGUAGUACGCUUUAUGCAAAACAAUGAAGCAAGCCUACCUGCUCCACAGACACGGAGGCUUAUAUCCAACAAUGAAAAUGAGCACUGUGCUGAUUUGACUUAAUCUUUGUCCAGGAAAACCAGCCCUACAGUGCUUUCAGAAAGUAUUCACACCCCUUGACUUGUUCCACAUUUUGUUGUGUUACAAUGUACAUUUCACAUUUUGUGUCAUUGGCCU
Non-coding RNA from Salmo salar (Atlantic salmon), 599 nucleotides. The record is from RefSeq and is a predicted model, not a curated record. Lineage: Eukaryota; Metazoa; Chordata; Actinopteri; Salmoniformes; Salmonidae.